UUUCCGUAGGUGAACCUGCGGAAGGAUCAUUAAAGUUAUAGUCCCCCGGCCCCUCCGGGCUGGAGUCUUCUAUACCACCCUUUGUUUAUUACACCUUUGUUGCUUUGGCAGGCCUGCCCUCGGGCUGCUGGCUCCGGCCGGCUCGUGCCUGCCAGAGGACCUAAACUCUGUUUGUAUAUGAAGUCUGAGUACUAUAUAAUAGUUAAAACUUUCAACAACGGAUCUCUUGGUUCUG
RNAcentral lists this unclassified non-coding RNA (235 nucleotides) under plant metagenome. Its description in RNAcentral is "partial contains small subunit ribosomal RNA, internal transcribed spacer 1, and 5.8S ribosomal RNA". The record is from RNAcentral.